ACAGGACAGAGUUUUGAGCCAUAAAUCAACAUUACAUAUGGGCAGCAGCAACGCCUAUGAUGUGAGCGGAACAACGCAGACUGAUGGAGGAGCAGGAGGAGCCAAUGGAACCGCUGCAACAAAGUCAGGAAUAGCUGUUGACCCAGGGACAACAACAUGGAGGGACCACAGAGCCAUGCCACCCAACACUCUGGAGAGGCCCCAUGCAGCGACCCACUAACCAGCCAACCAGCCAACCACAGCCCUGAACACUAACCGCACAACAUGACAAACGCACCACAGAAAACAGACAAUACCAGCAUGAAGGGGGACAAACCGUGCUCAACAUCCCAUCGAACAGGAACACUUGACUUUGUCCCAAACGGACAGAUGGAUGGAAAAGGAGAGGAAGGGUAGGAGGGAAAGCUGGCCUCGUUGUCUGCCAGCUGGAGCUACCAUCCACACCUUCUCCUCAUCACGACGGGCCUUCACUUAUCUGGAUAGAGGUUUAGAGGAGGAACCUUUUUCUUUUGAACUCUCUCUAACUUAUAGCUUGUAUUCUGAAUUUAUCUGACAUUUCUUUCCUUACCUCCAUAGUUUAAGUACACUGAUCACAUUCAAACAUGUACAACCGUCUGGAUUGAUUUCACCGUAAGGGUCUGAAAAUUUGCAAUCACAAACGCAAAACUUGGACUUGAGCUAUUAAAAGGGGUUGAUUACUUACUUGUCUAGUCUUUCAGCUAAUUUAACUCUGACUGGUGCUUACUCGUGGUGAUUUUUACAUUUGUGACUGGUAUGAUAGGACACCCUGCUCUCUUCAGGAUGCAGAUGAAUUAAGACCCAGUUAGGAAAUGACUACUUUCCACUGUGAAACAAACCUGGUACUAGGAGCUGAUCAGAUUACUGUCAUGUAGCUUUUCACUGAGUAUAACACAAUAUAAGACAGCAAUUUAAGGACCAAAACAGUCACUCUUAGUUUUUACUUCAGCAUUCUGGAAACUAUACUUUCUUGUUGACAGAACUUAAAGAUUCUCAUCCCAACCCAUAAAGCAGGACAUGGUAGCUUAACAUAAAGACUCUUGGUUUUUAAUUUAACCAGAAAAAGUUUCCUUGAGAUAAAGAACGUCUUUAAAAAGACCAAGACAGGUAGCAGCACAAAUGAACAGGUUACAGACAUCCAUCCGUUUCCUUCUGCUUAUCCAAGUUUGGGUUGCAGCAGGCUAAGUAAGGCCUUCCAGGUAUCCUUCUCUAUGGAGAUGUUUUCCGGUUCAUCCUGGUGGAUCCUGAGGUGUUCAUAGGCCAGAUGAGACAUAUAAUCCCUCCAGCAACUUCUGGGUCUACCCUGAAACAUCUCCCAGUCGGAUGUGACCACAAAACCUCCAAAGGAAGGACUCAGAUGCCAAAACCACCUCAGCUGGCGCCUUUUCACAACAAUUACUCAAAGGCCCUCUGAAUAUCUGAGCUCCUCAUCCCAUCUCUGAGGCUGAGUCCAACCACCUGAUGAAGCAAACCCAUUCAGCUGUUUGUGUUUGCCAUCUCAUUCACUACCCAAAGGUCAUGACCACUGGUACAGGUUGGAAUGUGGACAGACAAUCAGCAAAUCAAGAGGUUCCUCUUCACCACAAUACCAAGAUAUAUACCUGAUUACAGUGUUGUGACCACUUCUUGGCCUGCAGUAACUUCCUGGAGUCUCAUCGUUACAACAUUGUUGAUGAAGAAGUCAUUGAACCCAACCAAAAACACAAAACUCUUUGUAAACUCAACUCCUCCUGCAUUUACUCCUGGGAUUUAACACAGAAGACUUAACUAAGCUAAGCUAAGCAGCUGUUGAUUUUAGCUGGGGUUUUUUUGUUUGUUUAACCGACUGGUAUCAGUAUUGCCAUCUAACUUUUGGCAAGAAAACUACAUUCUUGCUUUGCAAAAAUGUCAAACUGGUGCCUUUUCAUGUUCAGAUGCAUGCAGUGGAGUUUUGGGUAGAAGAUAGAGGAAGAUACUGUUGGUUCUGUGCUGUUUGUGUUGAUAUUGGGAUUUUUCUGACCUUUUAUUUCCAAUGAAGGGAUUUCAGUUUUUAUUUGUUCUUUUUUAUCUCUCUCUUUUUGUUCUGGUCAGUGUGAACAAAGUGUGCACUAUACUGUUACCUUUAUUCUACACAAACUGAGCGAUGGUGAUAAGACAGGAGUGGCAGGACUGAAAGAGAACUAAAGGUCUCAAGGCCUAAAGCAGGGUGGAGUCGUCAUUCUUGUAAUGCCUGUUGUCAUGCCAUCCGUUGCCAUAUUCUCCACUGAACUGCUUAAAUAAAACACACCCAAGAGAGGCAACAAUGAAGUCAGUGAUACUGCUUUUCUUGCUACUGUACACUAAAAACCCAUGAAGCCUUUUAUGUCAGCUUCUUUUGACAAGCAAAAAAAACUCACGUCGCCAGCUUGAGUUUAGACAGUUUUGGUUUACUUCAUAUGAGGUAUUCUGCAUUUGUGUUUUCACUGGAUUCUCACUGGUAAAAAGUGGGCGAGGAUCAGCGGGGAAAAGUGAUGUCGCAUAUUUUGGUGGAAUCUGAUGAAACCAGCAGCAAACUGUAAAAUACAGACCAAAAAAAACAAACCUGCAGUUCCUUAAAUGACCACAUGGGGCUGGUUCUAAAGGUGAGUCAGAGCCCAUAAACAGACUUUACAGCACAAAUAAAUAAUUUCACAGCCUGGUAGGAAAAAAAGGCUUUAGUCUGUAUAAUUACCCCAUCCAGG
This is a long non-coding RNA of Amphiprion ocellaris (clown anemonefish), 2717 nucleotides long. The record is from Ensembl. Lineage: Eukaryota; Metazoa; Chordata; Actinopteri; Pomacentridae.